This 199-nucleotide long non-coding RNA is filed under the name Capsicum annuum. Its description in RNAcentral is "long non-coding RNA (CANN_LNC005914)". Lineage: Eukaryota; Viridiplantae; Streptophyta; Magnoliopsida; Solanales; Solanaceae. The record is from RNAcentral.
UUGAAUUCACAAUUUACAUGGAUGGAAUAGAUUAUAUCCUGGGAUGGUCAUACGCAUGAGACUUCGAAUAGUAAGACCACACGAAAAGGUGGAAAACCACAGUAACUGAUUAGCCUGACUGUCAAACUGAAUUGCUGGCUAUUUAGACUAAAUUAUACUGGACACUUAUACUUAACUGGAGUAUUUCUUCAACACCCUU